GACGAACGCUGGCGGCGUGCCUAACACAUGCAAGUCUGGGAGAAUAAGGUAGCAAUAUCUUUAGUAAACCGGCGCACGGGUGAGUAAUAUAUAGGUAAUAUGCCUCUUACUAAGGGAUAACAAAUGGAAACGUUUGCUAAUACCUUAUACUCCUUAUUAACAUAAGUUAAUAAGGGAAAGAUUUAUUGGUAAGAGAUUAGCCUGUAUUGUAUCAGUUAGUUGGUGGGGUAAUGGCUUACCAAGACUAUUACACAUAACUGGUUUGAGAGGAUGAUCAGUCACACUGGAACUGAGACACGGUCCAGACUCCUACGGGAGGCAGCAGUGGGGAAUAUUGCACAAUGGACGAAAGUCUGAUGCAGCAACGCCGCGUGGAGGAUGACACAUUUCGGUGCGUAAACUCCUUUUAUAUGAGAAGAUAAUGACGGUAUUAUAUGAAUAAGCACCGGCUAACUCCGUGCCAGCAGCCGCCGUAA
This 476-nucleotide ribosomal RNA is filed under the name uncultured bacterium. RNAcentral's name for it is "partial 16S ribosomal RNA". It matches the Rfam family "Bacterial small subunit ribosomal RNA", at positions 28 to 523 of the family's 1533-position model. The record is from RNAcentral.